RNAcentral lists this ribosomal RNA (533 nucleotides) under Streptomyces sp. RNAcentral's name for it is "bacterial SSU rRNA". Lineage: Bacteria; Bacillati; Actinomycetota; Actinomycetes; Kitasatosporales; Streptomycetaceae. The record is from RNAcentral.
UGCAGUCGAACGAUGAAGCCCUUCGGGGUGGAUUAGUGGCGAACGGGUGAGUAACACGUGGGCAAUCUGCCCUUCASUCUGGGACAAGCCCUGGAAACGGGGUCUAAUACCGGAUAUCACUCCUGCAGGCAUCUGCGGGGGUCGAAAGCUCCGGCGGUGAAGGAUGAGCCCGCRGCCUAUCAKCUUGUUGGUGAGGUAAUGGCUCACCAAGGCGACGACGGGUAGCCGGSCUGAGAGGGCGACCGGCCACACUGGGACUGAGACACGGCCCAGACUCCUACGGGAGGCAGCAGUGGGGAAUAUUGCACAAUGGGCGAAAGCCUGAUGCASCGACGCCGCGUGAGGGAUGACGGCCUUCGGGUUGUAAACCUCUUUCAGCAGGGAAGAAGCGAAAGUGACGGUACCUGCWGAAGAAGCGCCGGCUAACUACGUGCCAGCAGCCGCGGUAAUACGUAGGGCGCAAGCGUUGUCCGGAAUUAUUGGGCGUAAAGAGCUCGUAGGCGGCUUGUCACGUCGGGUGUGAAAGCCCGGGG